GAAAUGCGAUAAGUAAUGUGAAUUGCAGAAUUCAGUGAAUCAUCGAAUCUUUGAACGCACCUUGCGCUCCUUGGUAUUCCUUGGAGCAUGCCUGUUUGAGUAUCAUGAAAUCUUCAAAGUAAAUCUUUUGUUAACUCAAUUGGUUUCACUUUGGUAUUGGAGGUCUUUGCAGCUUCACACCUGCUCCUCUUUGUUCAUUAGCUGGAUCUCAGUGUUAUGCUUGGUUCCACUCGGCGUGAUAAGUUAUCUAUCGCUGAGGACACUGUAAAAGGUGGCCAAGGUAAAUGCAGAUGAACCGCUUCUAAUAGUCCAUUGACUUGGACAAUACUUUUAUGAUCUGAUCUCAAAUCAGGUAGGACUACCCGCUGAACUUAAGC
This 377-nucleotide unclassified non-coding RNA is filed under the name plant metagenome. Its description in RNAcentral is "partial contains 5.8S ribosomal RNA, internal transcribed spacer 2, and large subunit ribosomal RNA". The stretch from base 1 to 105 matches the Rfam family "5.8S ribosomal RNA", at positions 50 to 154 of the family's 154-position model. The record is from RNAcentral.